Small nucleolar RNA from Andrographis paniculata, 84 nucleotides. Lineage: Eukaryota; Viridiplantae; Streptophyta; Magnoliopsida; Lamiales; Acanthaceae. The record is from RefSeq and is a predicted model, not a curated record.
UGCAGUCAAUGAUGAAGCCAUUAGAUUUUAAUGACUUACCAGUGAUUAUCACAACUAAUUCACCAUCUUUCGGCUGAGAUUACU